RNAcentral lists this ribosomal RNA (450 nucleotides) under uncultured bacterium. Its description in RNAcentral is "bacterial SSU rRNA". It matches the Rfam family "Bacterial small subunit ribosomal RNA", at positions 29 to 524 of the family's 1533-position model. The record is from RNAcentral.
AACGAACGCUGGCGGCAUGCCCAACACAUGCAAGUCGAACGAAGCCUUCGGGCUUAGUGGCGCACGGGUGCGUAACACGUGGGAAUCUGCCCUUUGGUUCGGAAUAACAGUUAGAAAUGACUGCUAAUACCGGAUAAUGACGUAAGUCCAAAGAUUUAUCGCCGAAGGAUGAGCCCGCGUAGGAUUAGGUAGUUGGUGGGGUAAUGGCCCACCAAGCCGACGAUCCUUAGCUGGUCUGAGAGGAUGAUCAGCCACACUGGGACUGAGACACGGCCCAGACUCCUACGGGAGGCAGCAGUGGGGAAUAUUGGACAAUGGGCGAAAGCCUGGUCCAGCAAUGCCGCGUGAGUGAUGAAGGCCUUAGGGUUGUAAAGCUCUUUUACCAGGGAUGAUAAUGACAGUACCUGGAGAAUAAGCUCCGGCUAACUCCGUGCCAGCAGCCGCGGUAAU